GGGUUGUGAGGUUAAGCGACUAAGCGUACACGGUGGAUGCCCUGGCAGUCAGAGGCGAUGAAGGGCGUGCUAAUCUGCGAUAAGCGCCGGUAAGGUGAUAUGAACCGUUAUAACCGGCGAUACCCGAAUGGGGAAACCCAGUGUGAUUCGUCACACUAUCAUUAACUGAAUCCAUAGGUUAAUGAGGCGAACCGGGGGAACUGAAACAUCUAAGUACCCCGAGGAAAAGAAAUCAACCGAGAUUCCCCCAGUAGCGGCGAGCGAACGGGGAGGAGCCCAGAGCCUGAAUCAGCAUGUGUGUUAGUGGAAGCGUCUGGAAAGGCGCGCGAUACAGGGUGACAGCCCCGUACACAAAAGCGCAUGUGCUGUGAGCUCGAUGAGUAGGGCGGGACACGUGGUAUCCUGUCUGAAUAUGGGGGGACCAUCCUCCAAGGCUAAAUACUCCUGACUGACCGAUAGUGAACCAGUACCGUGAGGGAAAGGCGAAAAGAACCCCGGCGAGGGGAGUGAAAAAGAACCUGAAACCGUGUACGUACAAGCAGUGGGAGCACAGGUUUACCUGUGUGACUGCGUACCUUUUGUAUAAUGGGUCAGCGACUUAUAUUCUGUAGCAAGGUUAACCGUAUAGGGGAGCCGGAGGGAAACCGAGUCUUAACCGGGCGUUAAGUUGCAGGGUAUAGACCCGAAACCCGGUGAUCUAGCCAUGGGCAGGUUGAAGGUUGGGUAACACUAACUGGAGGACCGAACCGACUAAUGUUGAAAAAUUAGCGGAUGACCUGUGGCUGGGGGUGAAAGGCCAAUCAAACCGGGAGAUAGCUGGUUCUCCCCGAAAGCUAUUUAGGUAGCGCCUCGUGAAUUCAUCUCCGGGGGUAGAGCACUGUUUCGGCUAGGGGGCCAUCCCGGCUUACCAACCCGAUGCAAACUGCGAAUACCGGAGAAUGUUAUCACGGGAGACACACGGCGGGUGCUAACGUCCGUCGUGAAGAGGGAAACAACCCAGACCGCCAGCUAAGGUCCCAAAGUCAUGGUUAAGUGGGAAACGAUGUGGGAAGGCCCAGACAGCCAGGAUGUUGGCUUAGAAGCAGCCAUCAUUUAAAGAAAGCGUAAUAGCUCACUGGUCGAGUCGGCCUGCGCGGAAGAUGUAACGGGGCUAAACCAUGCACCGAAGCUGCGGCAGCGACGUUUAUGCGUUGUUGGGUAGGGGAGCGUUCUGUAAGCCUGUGAAGGUGUGUCGUGAGGCAUGCUGGAGGUAUCAGAAGUGCGAAUGCUGACAUAAGUAACGAUAAAGCGGGUGAAAAGCCCGCUCGCCGGAAGACCAAGGGUUCCUGUCCAACGUUAAUCGGGGCAGGGUGAGUCGACCCCUAAGGCGAGGCCGAAAGGCGUAGUCGAUGGGAAACGGGUUAAUAUUCCCGUACUUGGUGUUACUGCGAAGGGGGGACGGAGAAGGCUAUGUUGGCCGGGCGACGGUUGUCCCGGUUUAAGCGUGUAGGCUGGUUUUCCAGGCAAAUCCGGAAAAUCAAGGCUGAGGCGUGACGACGAGGCACUACGGUGCUGAAGCAACAAAUGCCCUGCUUCCAGGAAAAGCCUCUAAGCAUCAGGUAACAUCAAAUCGUACCCCAAACCGACACAGGUGGUCAGGUAGAGAAUACCAAGGCGCUUGAGAGAACUCGGGUGAAGGAACUAGGCAAAAUGGUGCCGUAACUUCGGGAGAAGGCACGCUGACACGUAGGUGAAGUGAUUUACUCAUGGAGCUGAAGUCAGUCGAAGAUACCAGCUGGCUGCAACUGUUUAUUAAAAACACAGCACUGUGCAAACACGAAAGUGGACGUAUACGGUGUGACGCCUGCCCGGUGCCGGAAGGUUAAUUGAUGGGGUCAGCGCAAGCGAAGCUCCUGAUCGAAGCCCCGGUAAACGGCGGCCGUAACUAUAACGGUCCUAAGGUAGCGAAAUUCCUUGUCGGGUAAGUUCCGACCUGCACGAAUGGCGUAAUGAUGGCCAGGCUGUCUCCACCCGAGACUCAGUGAAAUUGAACUCGCUGUGAAGAUGCAGUGUACCCGCGGCAAGACGGAAAGACCCCGUGAACCUUUACUAUAGCUUGACACUGAACAUUGAGCCUUGAUGUGUAGGAUAGGUGGGAGGCUUUGAAGCGUGGACGCCAGUCUGCGUGGAGCCGACCUUGAAAUACCACCCUUUAAUGUUUGAUGUUCUAACGUGGACCCGUAAUCCGGGUUGCGGACAGUGUCUGGUGGGUAGUUUGACUGGGGCGGUCUCCUCCUAAAGAGUAACGGAGGAGCACGAAGGUUGGCUAAUCCUGGUCGGACAUCAGGAGGUUAGUGCAAUGGCAUAAGCCAGCUUGACUGCGAGCGUGACGGCGCGAGCAGGUGCGAAAGCAGGUCAUAGUGAUCCGGUGGUUCUGAAUGGAAGGGCCAUCGCUCAACGGAUAAAAGGUACUCCGGGGAUAACAGGCUGAUACCGCCCAAGAGUUCAUAUCGACGGCGGUGUUUGGCACCUCGAUGUCGGCUCAUCACAUCCUGGGGCUGAAGUAGGUCCCAAGGGUAUGGCUGUUCGCCAUUUAAAGUGGUACGCGAGCUGGGUUUAGAACGUCGUGAGACAGUUCGGUCCCUAUCUGCCGUGGGCGCUGGAGAACUGAGGGGGGCUGCUCCUAGUACGAGAGGACCGGAGUGGACGCAUCACUGGUGUUCGGGUUGUCAUGCCAAUGGCACUGCCCGGUAGCUAAAUGCGGAAGAGAUAAGUGCUGAAAGCAUCUAAGCACGAAACUUGCCCCGAGAUGAGUUCUCCCUGAGACUUAGAGUCUCCUGAAGGAACGUUGAAGACGACGACGUUGAUAGGCCGGGUGUGUAAGCGCAGCGAUGCGUUGAGCUAACCGGUACUAAUGAACCGUGAGGCUUAACCUUACAACGCCGAAG
RNAcentral lists this ribosomal RNA (2927 nucleotides) under Salmonella enterica subsp. enterica serovar Bareilly str. CFSAN000661. RNAcentral describes it as "bacterial LSU rRNA". It matches the Rfam family "Bacterial large subunit ribosomal RNA". Lineage: Bacteria; Pseudomonadati; Pseudomonadota; Gammaproteobacteria; Enterobacterales; Enterobacteriaceae. RNAcentral also lists the same sequence under 9 other names. The record is from RNAcentral.